Molecule: unclassified non-coding RNA, 1301 nt
Filed under: Sitophilus oryzae (rice weevil)
Lineage: Eukaryota; Metazoa; Arthropoda; Insecta; Coleoptera; Curculionidae
Description: mediator of RNA polymerase II transcription subunit 9, transcript variant X2
Source: RNAcentral
UUGACAGAAAAUUGGGUUAGGCUUGUUGUUAUCAUUCAAAAAUAUUGUAAAAAUAACUUGACAUUCGAAAAAUAUCACCCAAAAUAGCCUAAUUUUAAUUGCUAUCGAAAAAGAUCAUCACGACAACACAGCUAAAACCAGAGAGUCACAAGAUUGCAGUCAAAAAGUUUUGGAGCUACAAAAACGUUUAAACCAAGCCAAAGCUGACAUUCGUAUGCUACCUGGCAUAGAGUUCAGCAAAGAACAGCAGCUGAACCACUUAGAAGCCUUAAAGACUCAGCUUCGUCUGAAGCAAGAACUGUUACAAAAAUACCGAAAUUUGUGCCCCUUCAAGUUCCAGAAACCUUAGAGCAAAAUUUCAUGUAAAAAACAGCAUGGUAUUGCGAUUCAUACUCCGAGUUUUAGCAAAUAAUGAACAGCUGGUACAGAGACUGAGCGAAUCGUACCCUAUGCGUAGGGCAGCUCAGAUUAUCGUCCGGGCAAUGUUCACAGGGAAAAACUUCAUUGAGGAAAGAAGACUACACGAAAAACUGACUCCGGAACAAUUUCAAGCUUUGAUGCGUGAAAUUUCGGUAGGUUUUCAAAAACAAGUUAAGCAAGUUCAAGAAAACAUUCAAAAAAAGAUGAAACAAUAGUUUUUUUGAGAAUAUAGAGUAAAAAUGAAAAAUACAAUAAUUUUUAUUGGUUCUCCUGAACAUAACGCAAAGAAAUCUUCAACCGAUUACAAAAACUUGUUUCUUGUGUCUCCGAACGAUGUGUUGUAUCGAAUUUUUACCUCUUUUGUGCCCCCAUUUAAUAAAUUUCGAAAAAUCUAUGUGGAUGUUUUAGGACCUUUUAUUUGCCUGGUUUUGCUGUGUUUUUUUUUGAAUUACGGUUAUUCUCUGAAACCCCAUAAAAUAGACAGGUCCCCCUUCGAGUCUAUUGUUUGUUUUUCUGUAAUUAUGCCCAUUUUGUCUUAUGUUUUACUAAAAUUAGGUCAGUCCAGCAUCAGUUUUUGGGAAACCUUGUGCGUUUUUGGAUAUUCCUUGUACGGUCAUCUAUUUACUUUAUUUCUAUCGUAUAUAUUCUUUCAAGAAACGAGCGAUGCUAUGUUUUUUAUCAGUUUGAUACUAGUAGGGGGCCCUAGUACUUUGAGGCUGAUUCUAGUUUAUUUAAAAACAAUACCAGUCCCUGGGGCAAGAUUACUAAUCUGUAGCAUAGUCUCUAUAGGAAAUAUUCUGUUUCUUAUUUAUUUAUAUUUUGCUUUCUUGCAUAGAAAUUAUAUGUAUAGUCAAACUGUUUAAAUAAAUUGAGUAAAUAAA